This 253-nucleotide ribosomal RNA is filed under the name uncultured bacterium. RNAcentral describes it as "partial 16S ribosomal RNA". It matches the Rfam family "Bacterial small subunit ribosomal RNA", at positions 524 to 776 of the family's 1533-position model. The record is from RNAcentral.
UACGUAGGGGGCAAGCGUUGUCCGGAAUUAUUGGGCGUAAAGAGCGUGUAGGCGGUCCGGUAAGUCGGCUGUGAAAGUCCAGGGCUCAACCCUCGAAUGCCGGUGGAUACUGUCGGGCUAGAGUGCGGGAGAGGCGAGUGGAAUUCCUGGUGUAGCGGUGAAAUGCGCAGAUAUCAGGAGGAACACCAAUUGCGAAGGCAGCUCGCUGGAACGUAACUGACGCUGAGACGCGAAAGCGUGGGGAGCAAACAGG